ACUCCUACGGGAGGCAGCAGUAGGGAAUCUUCCGCAAUGGACGAAAGUCUGACGGAGCAACGCCGCGUGAGUGAAGAAGGUUUUCGGAUCGUAAAACUCUGUUGUCAGAGAAGAACAAGUUGGAGAGUAACUGCUCCAGCCUUGACGGUUUCUGACCAGAAAGCCACGGCUAACUACGUGCCAGCAGCCGCGGUAAUACGUAGGUGGCAAGCGUUGUCCUGAUUUAUUGGGCGUAAAGCGAGCGCAGGCGGUUCCUUAAGUCUGAUGUGGAAGCCCACGGCUCAACCGUGGAAGGUCAUUGGAAACUGGGGAACUUGAGUGCAGAAGAGGAGAGUGGAAUUCCAUGUGUAGCGGUGAAAUGCGUAGAUAUAUGGAGGAACACCAGUGGCGAAGGCGACUCUCUGGUCUGUAACUGACGCUGAGGCUCGAAAGCGUGGGGAGCAAACAGGAUUAGAUACCCUGGUAGUC
This 468-nucleotide ribosomal RNA is filed under the name uncultured bacterium. Its description in RNAcentral is "bacterial SSU rRNA". It matches the Rfam family "Bacterial small subunit ribosomal RNA", at positions 335 to 795 of the family's 1533-position model. The record is from RNAcentral.